UCAGGCUACAAAUGUGGGGAGGCAGCCUCAGGCCAAGGGACUGGUAGAGGACUCUGGGGCUUGGGGAGGGAGUACCAGAAAGGCAUCCGACAGACCCCUCCUCAUGUGCCCUCAGGAUCUACCACCCAGAGGAUCUCAGUUAUGUCAGGGACAUGUGACAGAGGGCCACGGUGGAAACAGCAGACUAAGCCCACAUUCUGCCUCGGCUGAGGAGGGUCCAGCUUUCAGAGCAACGAUCUGUCAGCCAACAGAGGCAGGCCAUUGUUCGGAGCAGUGUGGUAAGCUGUGGUGCUGUUCUGCUCAAUCUUCAGAAAGCAAACAUGACUUCCUUCGGGAAGCCUUCUGGGACUCAUCCCCUAGCGCUCUCCUUAGUCUAGAACAGAUUUCUCCCACUCAGAGUGUUUUCUUUCAGAGCCCUCAUCAGUUUGUAAUUGUAUAUGUACAUGUGAGUCCCCCUUGCUGUCAAAGAUCACAUCAUUCACCAUCAUAGUCCCCAUGUCUGGAAACAUCAGAUACACAAUGUUUAAUAAACACUGAAUAUAAUAAAA
Molecule: long non-coding RNA, 548 nt
Organism: Bubalus bubalis (water buffalo)
Lineage: Eukaryota; Metazoa; Chordata; Mammalia; Artiodactyla; Bovidae
Exons: 2
Source: RefSeq, a predicted model, not a curated record